RNAcentral lists this long non-coding RNA (1644 nucleotides) under Monodelphis domestica (gray short-tailed opossum). Its description in RNAcentral is "lncRNA (ENSMODG00000038426.1)". Lineage: Eukaryota; Metazoa; Chordata; Mammalia; Didelphimorphia; Didelphidae. The record is from RNAcentral.
AUUUUGUGUCAAUUCCCUUUUCCCUUUCUCUAUCAAGGCUGUGACCCGGGUUUGCCUCGGGAGCUCGUCUUCCCCCAGCAUCGAGAACGAGCGACCUCGCGCGUGUCUGUGCCUGUGCGCUCCCCUGUCUUUUCCUAGUCCCGUCCCCUUUAUUGGGUUGGUUCGGAACACGAGGAGGCUGUUCAGUAAGGUCUGGUGGCAGAACGCGAGCAAGUUUGCGGUAUGCGAGCGCCCCUCCCCGUGUUUGCCCGCUGAAGUCAGGGCUCCUGGGCAGUCCCGAGAGAAGCAGGGCUCUGAAGAAGCUCCUUCAAGUCUUAGGGCAGGGUGGGUUGGAUUUUUUAGAGAAAGAGACCUGGGCGGCGUUGGGCUGAAAGCUACCCGGCGCAGGCGAUGGCAGCGACAAGGGAGAAUGACCUUUAUGCUGAAAAUUAAAGCAAAGAUGACUACCAGGGACUCAAUACCCAAGAUAACUAUGGAGACAGCAGGAAAAUACCUCUCUGCUCUUGAAAUGAAAUCACUUGGAUCUGAAGAACUGCAUCUUUGGGUACUGAAAAAAGUGGAAGCUAUAAUUGAUGAGCCACUGUCAGUGAUAUUUGAAUCAUCAUGGAAAACAGAAGAAUGACUAGAUUGGAGAAGGGGAAAAUGUCCUGAUUUUUAUUUAAAAAGGAGUUACAAUGGAGUCUAGAAAGUAUAGACUAGUGAAUUUAACUUUAAAGUCCUGGGAAAAUUGGAGAAUGAAUCAUGAAAGAGAUGGUUGGGAUAUUAUCUAAAGGAAGUGGUGAUUACAAAGUGUUUUGUCAAGAACAGAGCAUUCUAGACUGAACUCAUUUAAAAAAAAAUCAUUACUAAAUUAGAAUUAUUCUGUAAAUGUAGUUUACCUAGAUUUUGGCAACAUGUUCUCAUACAAUUUAAAAUGUUGUGUUUUUUUAUAGAUGUUUUCUGGUUUUAGAUCAUGAUAGCUUUCAAUAUUUUCUCUCCUCUCCCCCUUCCUUAAAAUGAUUUCAAAUUAAAAAGAUUUUUUUGAUGAAAAAGAAAAAGAAGAGUAAACAUAUCAUGAUUGAUGAUAUAUUGAGAAAACAUAAAAAUAUAUGCAAUGUGCAAAACCCACGGACCUCCCCCCCCAAAUUCACUAAUGGGUAGUUUGAGGGUGGCCUCCAUAUCUCAUCAUUUGAACCAUGUAUUCUUUAUAGUUUGUUAAUUCACUUUGAUUUUUUUAAAUGUAUGUCUUUUCAUUCAUUGUGUUGCAGUCAUUAUGUAUAUUGUUUUGUUGGUUCUACUUACUUCAUCUACUUUAGUUCAAGUAGCUCUUUCCAUGCUUCUUUCUACUUAUUACAUUCAUCAUUUCUUAUGAGUAAUAUUACAUUAUAUUCAUGUAGCAAAAUUUGUCUACCUAUUACCCAAUCAGUGGGCAUUUGCCUUGUUUCCAAUUCUUUGUUUUGACAAAAAAUGUUGCUUUAAAUAUUCAGUGUAUACGGAGACUUUUCCUCUUAUCAAUCUCUUGCUUGCAGUACAAACCUAGCAAUGAAAUUUCUGGUCCAAAGUCACUUUAUCUGAAUAAUUCCAAAUUGCUUUCUAAAAAUGAUUGUACCAUUUCACAGUUCUACCAAUAAUAAAUUAAUAAACACAACAUUGACUUUUGCUGUA